This 432-nucleotide ribosomal RNA is filed under the name uncultured bacterium. Its description in RNAcentral is "partial 16S ribosomal RNA". It matches the Rfam family "Bacterial small subunit ribosomal RNA", at positions 29 to 506 of the family's 1533-position model. The record is from RNAcentral.
AACGAACGCUGGCGGCAUGCCUAACACAUGCAAGUCGAACGAGACCUUCGGGUCUAGUGGCGCACGGGUGCGUAACGCGUGGGAACCUGCCCUUAGGUUCGGAAUAACUCCCCGAAAGGGGUGCUAAUACCGGAUAAUGUCUUCGGACCAAAGAUUUAUCGCCUUUGGAUGGGCCCGCGUUGGAUUAGCUAGUUGGUAGGGUAAAAGCCUACCAAGGCGACGAUCCAUAGCUGGUCUGAGAGGAUGAUCAGCCACACUGGGACUGAGGCACGGCCCAGACUCAUGCGGGAGGCAGGAGGGGGGAAUAUGGGGAAAGGGGCGAAAGCCUGACCCAGAAAUGCCGGGGGAGUGAGGAAGGCCUUGGGGUUGUAAAGCUCUUUUCCCGGGGAUGAAAAUGGACGUACCGGGAGAAUAAGCCCCGGCUAACCCCGU